RNAcentral lists this ribosomal RNA (1528 nucleotides) under human gut metagenome. RNAcentral's name for it is "bacterial LSU rRNA". It matches the Rfam family "Bacterial large subunit ribosomal RNA", at positions 1379 to 2925 of the family's 2925-position model. The record is from RNAcentral.
GUAAGUCGGGGCCUAAGCCGAGGACGGAAGUCGUAGGCGAUGGACAGCAGGUGUAGAUUCCUGCACUACCGAUGGAAUGAAGCAGUGACACAGAAGGAUAACUCGAGCAGGGUGAUGGUCAACCCUGUGCAAGCAUCAAGGUUGGGUUGUAGUGAAGUACGCAAUCCUAUAAGCUGAGAUGUGAUGCGGACCGAAAUUUCAGUAGGGAAGCGAGUGAGUUCACGCUGGCGAGAAAAGCUGCUAGUACAUCCAAAGGUACCCGUACCGGAAACCGACGCAGGUGGGCGAGGAGAGAAUCCUGAGACGAACGGGAGAACCCUUGUUAAGGAACUCGGCAAAAUGACCCCGUAACUUCGGGAUAAGGGGUGCCUGCGAGAGCAGGCCGCAGAGAAUAGUCACAAGCGACUGUUUAGCAAAAACACAGGUAUCUGCGAAAGCGAGAGCUGACGUAUAGGUGCUGACACCUGCCCGGUGCUGGAAGGUUAAGGGAACAUGUUAGAGCAAUCGAAGCAUCGAACCGAAGCCCCAGUAAACGGCGGCCGUAACUAUAACGGUCCUAAGGUAGCGAAAUUCCUUGUCGGGUAAGUUCCGACCCGCACGAAUGGUGUAACGACUUGUGAGCUGUCUCAACAGGGGGCCCGGUGAAAUUGAAGUAUGGGUGAAGAUGCCCAUUACCCGCGACUGGACGGAAAGACCCCGUAGAGCUUUACUGCAGCCUGAUAUUGAGUUUCGGUAACUGAUGCACAGGAUAGGUGGGAGUCUGAGAGACAUGGGUUUCGGCUCAUGAGGAGACGAUGUUGGGAUACCACUCUUCGGUUACUGAAAUUCUAACAUAGCUCUGUGAAACCAGAGGAUGGACAGUGUCAGGUGGACAGUUUGACUGGGGCGGUCGCCUCCGAAAGAGUAACGGAGGCGCCCAAAGGUACCCUCAGAAUGGAUGGAAACCAUUCGAAGAGCGCAAAGGCAGAAGGGUGCCUGACUGCGAGAGUGACAACUCGAGCAGAGACGAAAGUCGGGCUUAGUGAUCCGGCGGUAUUGAGUGGAAAAGCCGUCGCUUAACGGAUAAAAGCUACCUCGGGGAUAACAGGCUGAUCUCCCCCAAGAGUCCACAUCGACGGGGAGGUUUGGCACCUCGAUGUCGGCUCGUCGCAUCCUGGGGCUGAAGCAGGUCCCAAGGGUUUGGCUGUUCGCCAAUUAAAGCGGCACGCGAGCUGGGUUCAGAACGUCGUGAGACAGUUCGGUCCCUAUCCAUCGUGGGCGUAGGAGUCAUGAGAGGAGCUGUUCCUAGUACGAGAGGACCGGAAUGGACGCACCACUGGUGCAACUGUUGUCGUGCCAACGGCAUAGCAGGGAAGCGAAGUGCGGAUGGGAUAAACGCUGAAGGCAUCUAAGCGUGAAGCCCACCUCAAGAAUAAGUGUCCCAUUCGAAAGAAGUAAGACCCCUGGAAGACUACCAGGUGAUAGGUCAUCGGUGAAAGAGCGGUAACGUUUGGAGCUUGAUGAUACUAAUCGGUCGAGGACUUGAUCU